This 512-nucleotide ribosomal RNA is filed under the name uncultured bacterium. Its description in RNAcentral is "partial 16S ribosomal RNA". It matches the Rfam family "Bacterial small subunit ribosomal RNA", at positions 28 to 507 of the family's 1533-position model. The record is from RNAcentral.
GAUGAACGCUGGCGGCGUGCCUAAUACAUGCAAGUCGAACGAAACUUCUUUAUCACCGAGUGCUUGCACUCACCGAUAAAGAGUUGAGUGGCGAACGGGUGAGUAACACGUGGGCAACCUGCCCAAAAGAGGGGGAUAACACUUGGAAACAGGUGCUAAUACCGCAUAACCAUAGUUACCGCAUGGUAACUAUGUAAAAGGUGGCUAUACUACCGCUUUUGGAUGGGCCCGCGGCGCAUUAGCUAGUUGGUAGGGUAAAGGCUUACCAAGGCAAUGAUGCGUAGCCGAAUUGAGAGGUUGAUCGGCCACACUGGGACUGAGACACGGCCCAAACUCCUACGGGAGGCAGCAGUAGGGAAUCUUCCACAAUGGGCGAAAGCCUGAUGGAGCAACGCCGCGUGGGUGAAGAAGGUCUUCGGAUCGUAAAACCCUGUUGUUAGAGAAGAAAGUGCGUGAGAGUAACUGUUCACGUUUCGACGGUAUCUAACCAGAAAGCCACGGCUAACUACGUG